This is a small nuclear RNA of Cebus imitator (Panamanian white-faced capuchin), 103 nucleotides long. NCBI's taxonomy places the organism in Eukaryota, Metazoa, Chordata, Mammalia, Primates, Cebidae. The record is from Ensembl.
GUGCUCACAGCAGCAAAUAUACUAAAAUUGGAACAAUACAGAGAAGAUUACCGUAGCCCUGCACAAGGAUGACACACAACUUUGCGAAGUUUUUUAAGACAUU